UGUAAAUUUCCCACUGCUGGGCUAAAGGCCUCCUCUCCCUUUGAGGAGAAGGCUUGGAGCAUAUUCCACCAUGGUGCUCCUAUGCAGGUUGGUGGAAUACACAUGUGGCAGAAUUUCGUUGAAAUUAGACACAUGCAGGUUUCCUCACGAUGUUUUCCUUCACCGCCGAACACGAGAUGAAUUAUAAACACAAAUUAAGCACAUAACAAUUCAGUGGUGCCUGCCGGGGUUUGAACAAGAAAUCAUCGGUUAAGAUGUAUGCGAUCUAACCACUGGGCCAUCUCGGCUCUUAUUAAUUAUCUUAAUGAAAAAUAAGUUUCUUUUUCAUAAAAAUAUCAUAACAUUUUAAAAGUGGAAAGAACCCAAUUGUGUUUUCAGCAGUACAUAAAAAAUACAAUUUUUAAAGCUAACUAUAUGGCAUUAAUAAUAUGUAUUUAAUCACAACUAAAAGUAAAAAUCAAGCAAACUUUGGUAUUAAUUGUUAAAUGUCUAAGAAAUAUUUUGUUUAUUUUAAUGUACUAUGAAGUGAUAUAAUAUGUAAAAAUUUGAUAAAAAAAACUAUCUAUGUAAAAAUUAAAUACAUGCAUUUUUCAAUUUAACAUUAUAAUAUUGGAACUUCAUGAUGUUAAGUUUCUCUAUAAAUUAUAAUAUAAUAUAUACAUACAUUUAUAGUAUAUUUAGUUAUACCUAUUACUUUAGGAGUAUUUAGUGCUUUAAAUAGGUAUUGGUAAUAAGGUUAUUUACUAUAUUUUUUUCACUUUAGUCAUCCACUAACAGCAAAUUAAUACAAUGUAGUUGAAACAACAAUGUAGUAUAAACAUUAAUUUAUUAAAAACUGAAUGACAUUUAAUAUAUAACAUACCAAAUUAUCAAAAAGUAUAUUAUAAUAAAGUUAGUUUUUUAAUUACAUACAAAUGAAAUAAGUUAAUUUUUAAAUGUAAGACAAUAUUUUUACUUCUAUAUAAGUUUUUAAUUGGAAGUUCAAAUUUGAAUUUGCUGACAUUUAAUGUAUGGCAGUUUCAUAAUUAUAGGAUCUUUGUAUCUAUCAUGGUGUCUUCAUAUUUCUUUAUAAAAUAAAUUGUGAUCUUUGAUAAUAUUAAUAAUAUGAGAAUAUUUAAUAUUGUGUUACCGGGUUUAUUAACUUAGAAAGUGAGUCAGAUAAACUUUCUAGUCUAUUUUUAUUGUUACUUCUUGAAUUUUUAAUACAAAGAUUUUGGCUUAAAAACUGAGAGAGCAUGGUAAAAUUAUUAGAACAGACUAAAUGUCAUUAAAGAUGUAAUAUUUAAAAAAUCGUAUAUAAUGUAUAUUUUACUACACAUACUAUUUUGUAUAAAAUGAUAUUAUAAAAAAGUAGAGUUAAAAAGUUAUAUUCAGUGAUAUAAUUAAAAUUUCUAUAAAAUAGUUAUUUAUAUAACUCAUUUCAUUAUUGUUUUAUUUGGUUUAUUUAUGUUUAUGGUAUAGUAUUGGCAAUACCUACAUAGUAAUGAUACUUUAGUGUACUUCAAACUUCAGAUCCUUAUGGUACACUGUAAUCAUGUUAAUCAAUAUCUUAUUCUGAAUAAAGCAAACUGUUCUGCGAUCCAAUAGGCUGUGCUUAUCUGUAUAUAUCAUUUUAUAAGUCUUUGUUUUGUGUUAAGAUCUUAAUUUUGUGAAUUAAUAUUUUAAUAAUAAUAUUGUUUUACAUAGUUUUUAUGUCUGUAAAUGUUAUUUUUUGAAUAAUCAAAUUGUUUAUGAAUUCAAAUAAAAUGUAGAAUUAUUUUAAAA
Molecule: long non-coding RNA, 1764 nt
Organism: Vanessa tameamea
Lineage: Eukaryota; Metazoa; Arthropoda; Insecta; Lepidoptera; Nymphalidae
Exons: 2
Source: RefSeq, a predicted model, not a curated record